Molecule: unclassified non-coding RNA, 601 nt
Filed under: Lingula anatina
Lineage: Eukaryota; Metazoa; Brachiopoda; Lingulata; Lingulida; Lingulidae
Description: uncharacterized LOC106173568, transcript variant X1
Source: RNAcentral
AUGUGUUCGCUUCCUUUAUAAUAAGCUUAAACUGACGGCAUACUGCUUACUUCGGCAGACUCAGUGAAAUACGGUAUUCACCAGAAAUUUUCCAAGGUUUCUUCUGCACAUUCCGCUACCAUGAAAGUUUUUAUCCUAAUUGCAUUGGUUGCCGUGGCAACAGCUAAACCAGCUGAGAACUCCUUUGAUCGACUUGCCCGCUCUUUGGCUGAAGAUGAGGUUAUGAAGAGGGGUGUCAAAGACGUCCUUAUUGACGUUGUUAAAGCCAUCUGCGUCCCUGUCAUGGACUCCGUGAUCGGUCUGACCAAUGGCACAUGUGCCGUAUUGGCCGCUUCUGCCGACAGCACCUGCAUACAGCUUGCUGACCAGUACCUUGGCGGCUUCUUCUCUGGUCUGUUCUCUACCCCUGUUGCAUCCAUGUGCAAAAACUUGGCUGAUCUUGUCAUCAUCGAGUGCAACAAAGGAACCGUGCAAAACUACGCCAGCGGUGUAUGCGCCGCACUUGCCAACAAAAUGGGCUAAAUGAACUUUUUUUGUAAAUUUCCUGAGUCAAAAAUAAAUGGAAGAAAGACAAAAAGAAAUAUAUUGAUGAUUUGCACAA